This 1566-nucleotide long non-coding RNA is filed under the name Malus domestica (apple). RNAcentral's name for it is "long non-coding RNA (MDOM_LNC009171)". Lineage: Eukaryota; Viridiplantae; Streptophyta; Magnoliopsida; Rosales; Rosaceae. The record is from RNAcentral.
ACUCAAAUGCACUUUAGGCGAUGAAAGUUUUCCACAUUUGACUGUCAUAGGGCAAGAUUUUGGCGCCAACAAAAAAUUUGGCGCGCAAGUCAUUAUGGCUUGCGGGACAAAACAUUGAUUCGUUGGCUAAGUUCACGUUUGCUCGACAAUUAAGUGAAAGUUCCCGUCGAGGAUUUCUGUCAGGCAAACACUACUUCACCAAUUAGGUCUAUGCAUUCUUCUUUAUUCCCAUUCUCCUUUCCCUACUCCCCUCGACGGCUGCUGUUUCUCCCUGCAUCUCUCUCUCUCUCUCUCUCUCUCUCUCUCUCUCUCUCUCUCUCUCUCUCUUAUACACAAACACCCUACACUCUCCUCCAUCUCUUCCUCUCCCAAUUGAUUAAAGAUUAGUUUAUUUUUAUUUUUUUGAUUAAUUUUUUCUUCAAAUGUAUGAUUAUUUAAUUUAGUAGCUAUUAAAAACAAAUCAUGCAAGGAGCCUAAUGAGGAAGAACGCUCUACUUACCAUUUGAUGUAUAUUAUAUUUUGUUCUUGAGUAGUCUUUGAGGAGACCUAAAUCUAGUUAAACUUGAAUGAUAUCUUAAAACUAUUGGUGAUUCAUUUUCACCAAAUGGUCAUCAUACAUAUCGUAUUGCUAGCUACGACCGUAGGUUUAUUGCAGGUAUUGAUAUUUCCAGUAAAAUCUAGAUUUGUUAAUAGACGCUAGUCAUCGAUCAGGUAAAUGCUACUUCACCUGCUUGCUAUACACUUGAAGUACUUUGAUAGUGUGAAUGAAAUUUACAUUCUUUGAUAUGACGAGCGAUGUGAUAUAAACUUGAUUAAUGUUAUGGUAGUGUUAUAUGUAUAUAGUUUUUUACUAUAUAUAUGAUUUCAAAACGAGGGUUAUUAUAUUCAAAUGAUUUUAACUAUAUAAACUUGAUCCACUCACACUUUAUUUUGUUGACCCCUUAAGACAUAGUGAGAACAAGGAUAACCUAGGAAGUGAAGAGUAGGCUUGGCAGUGAGACCUUCACCUUCAUAUUUUGGUGAUGAGUCCCUUACUGCAGUUUAUUCUAGUAUAUAAUAAUUGCAUGAUUGUACUCUUGAUUAUGUAUGACACUACAUUGUUUUGUGUUAACUGUUGUGUGAGGCUAUUAUCAUCUUUGGUGUAAUGCAAUAAGGAUGACAUUACAUCCUUGAACAUGUGUCCCCAAGUGGAGAGGUUGAUGAGGUUUACUUGGUAGACUGUUUUGAUUAUUAAUAAAGAACAGUUUGGUUCAAAUUCAUUCACAUCAUGAUUAUCUUACGAUGGCUUUCAUCACUAAGUCGGCUUGUGACGUCAUCUUAUGAUGGGUUCAUGUGGUCAAUUUAGUGGCGGCCAGCAUAUUACGGCCUUGUAACUUGUGUUAUUGGGGUCAGAGUGUGUCAUUGAAUUUUCAAGCCUAGCAUGUGGAAAACACAAAGGGUAAUGCUAGGGAGACCAAAUUUGGGGACUAAUUUUAUAAACUAAAUGAUGUGUCACCAAUAAGAAUAAGUACGUUUAUCAAUGUGUAAGUAAUAAACCAAUCAUCAACUUUUAUGUCCUUUAGUUUU